CUGGGUUUUGAGUCAGAUGAAAAUGAAGAUGAAGACAGUUGGAUGGAUGAGGACAGUAGCAGUAAUGAUGAUGAUGAUGAAGAUGAGAAUGAUGAUGAAGAUGUUCAAGCUAAUAUUAAUGUGGAAGAAUCUCAAUCUCGUUUGCACGAACCUCCACAAUAUUUUAAUGAUAUAAAUUUAGAUGAUGGUGGUUGUGUUAGUGCUGAUCGAAGAUUGAAUUCUGACAAUCAAUUUUGGGACUCUUCGAUGACUGAAUUUUCUAAAGGUUUAAUGUUUGAGAGUAAAGAUAAUGUAAGGAGAGC
Molecule: long non-coding RNA, 302 nt
Filed under: Elaeis guineensis (African oil palm)
Lineage: Eukaryota; Viridiplantae; Streptophyta; Magnoliopsida; Arecales; Arecaceae
Description: long non-coding RNA (EGUI_LNC025180)
Source: RNAcentral